Molecule: long non-coding RNA, 519 nt
Organism: Chionomys nivalis (European snow vole)
Lineage: Eukaryota; Metazoa; Chordata; Mammalia; Rodentia; Cricetidae
Exons: 3
Source: RefSeq, a predicted model, not a curated record
AUUUCAGCCUGACAGCCUUUAGAGAUUUCUCUUGGGGCAGACAAAGAAGAUGAGAUACUGCCUUUAUUGUUUCUCCCUGAAGCCCCCCUAUAAGACAAGAUUUCAAAGCUGCUCAGACCCGAACAAUCACACAGAAACCAUAUUAAUUACAACACUGCUUGGCCAACCAUUCAGAAGGACGUGUGCAUUCUAAAGGAAAACAGAGAAGUCUAUGCAGCCUGCCACUAAGGAAAGAACUUAUGUUCAUAUUAAAAAUCUAUAAGUUAGACUUACUUCCCUUUGUCCCUGGCUCAUUGGGGCAUCCAGGAGUUCCUGUGUAGGUGCCGAGAAGUUUCAUCAGGACGGGUGAGUGUGUGCUAUCCUGGGGUGGACGGUCCCGGUAGAGAGCACAAACGCCCCUCCCCCAGCUCCUGCUGCAGGGCUUUCUCUCCUACACACCCGCCCCCACCCCCACCCCCAAGCCUGCCUUGUCUGCAAGGUCCUUAGCUGUGGAACAGUUUCCUGCCCUUUCACUAAGGC